GGGAUUACCGUCAGUAACGGCGAGUGAAGCGGUAACAGCUCAAAUUUGAAAUCUGGCCUCUUUGGGGUCCGAGUUGUAAUUUGUAGAGGAUGUUUCGGGUACCGCCCCGGUCUAAAUUUCUUGGAACAGAAUGUCAGAGAGGGUGAGAAUCCCGUCUUGGACCGGUGGUAGGGCCCAUGUGAAACUCCUUCGACGAGUCGAGUUGUUUGGGAAUGCAGCUCAAAAUGGGUGGUAAAUUUCAUCUAAAGCUAAAUAUUGGCCAGAGACCGAUAGCGCACAAGUAGAGUGAUCGAAAGAUGAAAAGCACUUUGAAAAGAGAGUUAAACAGUAUGUGAAAUUGUUGAAAGGGAAGCGCUUACAACCAGACUUGAGCGCGGCGGUUCCCCCUUCCUUUUGGUUGGGUUACUCCGUCGUGUCCAGGCCAACAUCGGUUCUGGGGGUCGGUCAAAGGCCCUAGGAAUGUAUCUACCCUCCGGGCGUAGACUUAUAGCCUAGGGUGUCAUGCGGCCUCCCGGGACCGAGGAACGCGCUUCGGCUCGGAUGUUGGCGUAAUGGUUGUCAGCGACCCGUCUUGAACCCCACGGACACA
This 589-nucleotide ribosomal RNA is filed under the name Minimelanolocus obscurus. Its description in RNAcentral is "partial large subunit ribosomal RNA". It matches the Rfam family "Eukaryotic large subunit ribosomal RNA", at positions 71 to 669 of the family's 3401-position model. Lineage: Eukaryota; Fungi; Ascomycota; Eurotiomycetes; Chaetothyriales; Herpotrichiellaceae. The record is from RNAcentral.